This 902-nucleotide long non-coding RNA is filed under the name Homo sapiens (human). RNAcentral describes it as "non-protein coding lnc-PPP4R2-9:1". Lineage: Eukaryota; Metazoa; Chordata; Mammalia; Primates; Hominidae. The record is from RNAcentral.
CUGAGAUCAGCUGAGGAAAGCUUUGCCAAGCUUCAGAGGAUCAAAAUGUGCAUUUGGGAGGGGUAGGCGGGCAGAUGGCGCCAGAUUAAAAAGAUGCUGGGCUCGCUCGCUGCUCUGAGGUCUCUGAAUUGCCUCCAGCACAGCAGUGUGCAAUCAGGAACUCCAUCACACGACCUAAAAACUUGUUGAGUCUCUCCAAAAAGACUUAGCCUGCUACAAGAUACUGAGGGGGAUUGAGAUGCACUUCCAGAGGGCCUGAGAUUCUAGAAGCCCAGCAUCCACCAGAUGCCUGCUGAAGUCGAUGGCUGCUGCACACUCUGCUGAGGAAUCAGAUUUCUGAAGGUCCUUCAUAAAUACUUCAGUCUGCAAAGAUGAACAAGAGGAGCCCGAAGAAUGUCGUAUGAAAUGAAGACUGAGAUACUGAGAUUCUCUCAAAACAGCCUCAGGUGAACCAGGAGAAUAAGCAGGUUAAUAAUCUUUAGUGAGGAGGCUGGGAGGGAGGGGGCCACAUGUGUGCCGCAUACCUGUACAAGAGUACAUAUUUCCUGUCUCUUCCAUGUCACGUUCUCUUAAGCCCCGAGGCGUCUACACUGACAAUUUCCACUGCACAGAAUGCCUUUCUCCUCUUCUCUGCAAUGAGAUCAGCUGCUCCUCAGUGAAGCUUUCUCAGAAGCCUCCCACCCCCACACCCGCACACACAUUGACAGACACAGAGGACAGACAGCCCUGUGCCAAACCUCAGCCCUGUGUCUGGGGUCUUCUCCAGGCAGGACCUGAGGUUACCUUUCUCUUCCUCCCUAGUGCUUAGCACAGUGCCUUGGUUCAAACAUGCACUCACUGAGCCUACCCCUGGCCAAAGGUCCAGGCGCUGGGCUGGACUAGGGCUGGCAGUGGUGAAGAGA